GGGCCCGUGGGGUAGCUUGGUAUCCUUGUGGCUUCGGGAGCCAUAGACUUGAGUUCGAAUCUCAGCGGGCCCA
This 73-nucleotide transfer RNA is filed under the name Thermoplasmata archaeon. RNAcentral describes it as "tRNA-Pro". It matches the Rfam family "tRNA". Rfam says of the family: Transfer RNA (tRNA) molecules are approximately 80 nucleotides in length. Their secondary structure includes four short double-helical elements and three loops (D, anti-codon, and T loops). Lineage: Archaea; Methanobacteriati; Thermoplasmatota; Thermoplasmata. The record is from RNAcentral.